GAUAGACAAAGCGACGGAUUUACCUGAUAGAAAUAAACGUACUCAGACAAAAUCCCCUAAACGUGAUAAAAAGAAGAAGAUUAUUGAACCAGAUAUUAAAGUUCCACACACUGAGGAUUCUGGAAAGGAAAGUAGAAAGAAGAGGAAGUGUCUCGAGAAGAAGGAGCGCAAGACAAGACACAAAGAAGACGAUCACAAAUCUUCUAAACGAAAGCGGCGUUGCUUAGAGAAACAUGGAAGGAAGUACAAAAUCGAAGAGCAGUACGACGAAGAAGGAUCACCUAGAACAUCCAGACGGAAGUGUUCAAAGGACAGAAGGGAC
Dufourea novaeangliae is the source of this 322-nucleotide long non-coding RNA. RefSeq lists it as uncharacterized. NCBI's taxonomy places the organism in Eukaryota, Metazoa, Arthropoda, Insecta, Hymenoptera, Halictidae. The record is from RefSeq and is a predicted model, not a curated record. The transcript is spliced from 3 exons.